Molecule: signal recognition particle RNA, 268 nt
Filed under: Paenibacillus aquistagni
Lineage: Bacteria; Bacillati; Bacillota; Bacilli; Caryophanales; Paenibacillaceae
Description: Bacterial large signal recognition particle RNA
Rfam family: Bacterial large signal recognition particle RNA
About the family: The signal recognition particle (SRP) is a universally conserved ribonucleoprotein involved in the co-translational targeting of proteins to membranes. Archaeal SRP consists of a 7S RNA and homologues of the eukaryotic SRP19 and SRP54 proteins.
Source: Rfam by way of RNAcentral
CCGUGCUAGAUGGGGAGGUAGCGGUGCCCUGUAACUCGCAAUCCGCUAUAGCGAGGUUGAAUUCCUAUUAGAGGUUUUGUCGAUGUAAGGUCUGGCGUCUUUGCGCAGUGUUGACGGCCGGGUCCUUCGCAAUAGGCACCUAUGAAUCUGGUCAGGUCCGGAAGGAAGCAGCCAUAAGUAGGUUCGUCUAUGUGCCGAAGGGAAGCCUAGCCUGAGCUGUUGCACGGAAGUGCCGCUUGGAUCGCAAUUAUCAAUAAUAGGUGCACGG